Molecule: ribosomal RNA, 253 nt
Filed under: uncultured bacterium
Lineage: Bacteria
Description: partial 16S ribosomal RNA
Rfam family: Bacterial small subunit ribosomal RNA
Source: RNAcentral
UACGUAGGGUGCAAGCGUUGUCCGGAAUUAUUGGGCGUAAAGAGCUCGUAGGCGGUUUGUCGCGUCUGCUGUGAAAACUCGGGGCUUAACCCCGGGCCUGCAGUGGGUACGGGCAGACUGGAGUACUGCAGGGGAGACUGGAAUUCCUGGUGUAGCGGUGGAAUGCGCAGAUAUCAGGAGGAACACCAAUAGCGAAGGCAGCUCGCUGGGACGUUACUGACACUGAGGCGCGAAAGCGUGGGGAGCGAACAGG